RNAcentral lists this small RNA (125 nucleotides) under Marmota monax (woodchuck). The record is from RNAcentral. Lineage: Eukaryota; Metazoa; Chordata; Mammalia; Rodentia; Sciuridae.
GCUGGGCCUGGGGGUGCACGCAUGUAAUCCCAGUGGCUCAGGAGGCUGAGACAGGAGGAUGGCGAGUUCAAAGCCAGCCUCAGCAAUGGUGAGGUGCUUAGCGACUCAGUGAGAUCCUGUCUCUA